AUUUAAGGCACCCAAUGGGCCUUAAAACUUCUAAGGAUAUAAGACAAUAGUGGUGAACCUAUGGCAUGAGUGCUGUAACCAGCUGUUUGUUAUUGAAAGCUCUAGAAGGUUCACCAUCGCUGAUACAAGUGUGAAAUAUCAAUAAACAGAAGACACACUCCCAAGCGGCCUGAACACUGGUGCUCCUGGAGACAACUUGGUUUAGAGAGAAAACAAGGAUGGCCGAGGAGUGGAUCUGUUCCUUGGAAGAAAGGACAACCCACGAGACGGGCUGCCAGUCACAGGAAACGCUGAACCACAGCCAGAAUAAGCUGCUUUGUGUAAUCAGGUGGGGGCCAGGAGCCCCCCUAUUCAGACUUUGACCUCAGAGGUACCUCCUGUGGACAUUUUGACAACUACUGAAGGAGUGACAGUCCCCGAGAUAUGCCUGGAGGAAUAUAAAAAUACACAGUAAGUACUCAACUGAGGAUGUGGUGCCAAACCACAGGAAGAGCCCAGAGAGAGAACCAGGCUGGGGUGCGGCUGGGAAGGCAAGUCACUGUGUGCUUUGGCUGAGGAGGGUGGGCUGGGUGCCACGGUAGUGAGCUAAAUUUAUGGGAAUCAGUGGCUCAGGGCUCAGAAAUCAGGAGCAAGGCACAGUUACUUUUAUCAUAUGUUUGCAACCAAUUAAAAGUGUGAGGUUCUACGUGUGAAUAAACUCAGCCCUUAUGUAUCAACACGGGCAAUCUCGAGGCAAUCUCACAUAUUAACGGAAACCAUUCAGUGGUGGGAAUGUACAUGAGACAAGCUACUUUAGAGGGCAACUAGGCAGACUCCAUUAAAACUUGGAGUCUGUCUCUGAGCACUGGUGAUUCCAUACUGAAACUCUCCGCACUUGUCUUCGAACUGUUUUGACAAGGACUCACAGUGUGACAUACAUUCGCUGUUCCAAUCCAGUACACAGACCCAUAUGGAAAGGAAGCGAAGCUUUCAUGAACCAGUAGUUGCUUUAGUUUAGUAGAUGGAAUGGACUAGGCUAUGUUGUAAUUUACUCCAGCUUGUUUGUGUCUUGGAGCUUUUUACACUGAUUUUGAGGGACUCAUGGAUAUACUCCAGUUAUGGUUUACAGCUAGAUGUUCCUGGACAGCCUCUUCACCCCCAGACAGGGCUUUUGAAAGGUGACUGAAUUAGGAAGGUGAUAUCACCGGUUUGCUGCCCAGGAGGCAGAGCCUGAAUAGAAGACACAGCUCCCUGUGGGGAUGACCUGGAACCGUCUAUCUUCCUUCCUUGAUUCUCUCUGCUUCCGGUCCAUCAUCCAUGAGCAACUCCCUUCCACCGUGCCCCUCCGCCACACUGUCCUGCCUGGGAGCCAGCCAGUAGUCAAAGUAAACCUUUCCUUCUUUAA
Molecule: long non-coding RNA, 1384 nt
Organism: Cavia porcellus (domestic guinea pig)
Lineage: Eukaryota; Metazoa; Chordata; Mammalia; Rodentia; Caviidae
Exons: 3
Source: RefSeq, a predicted model, not a curated record